UCCGAGGGGGCAACCCCUGAUCCGCAACGCCGCGUGAGCGAAGAAGGCCUUCGGGCCGUAAAGCCCUCUUGUCAGGGAAGAAACACCGGCUCUAACACAGUCCGGGAAUGACGGUACCUGAAGAAUAAGCACCGGCUAACUACGUGCCAGCAGCCGCGGUAAUACGUAGGGUGCAAGCGUUAAUCGGAAUUACUGGGCGUAAAGCGUGCGCAGGCGGUUAUACAAGACAGGCGUGAAAUCCCCGGGCUUAACCUGGGAAUGGCGCCUGUGACUGUAUAGCUAGAGUGUGUCAGAGGGGGGUAGAAUUCCACGUGUAGCAGUGAAAUGCGUAGAUAUGUGGAGGAAUACCAAUGGCGAAGGCAGCCCCCUGGGAUAACACUGACGCUCAUGCACGAAA
RNAcentral lists this ribosomal RNA (397 nucleotides) under uncultured bacterium. RNAcentral's name for it is "bacterial SSU rRNA". It matches the Rfam family "Bacterial small subunit ribosomal RNA", at positions 368 to 758 of the family's 1533-position model. The record is from RNAcentral.